AUGGACCAAUCCAUCCCUUUUUCCCGUGCAUAUGCAUCGGACUCGGUUGACGAUGGUCCCGAUGAAGAAGUUGAUGGGGAGGGGUUCACACCGAAGGAGGCCCAAGCAUUCAAGAAGGUAUUCGGGCGGGAUCACAAGACACCAUUGUUCAAGGAUCUUAGUCUCGCAGAUGAAGCCGUUGUGGAUGGUGGCAAAUGCAUAUCUCUUGGAGCUAGGACAAGUUCUCAC
This 228-nucleotide ribosomal RNA is filed under the name Triticum aestivum (bread wheat). RNAcentral describes it as "partial small subunit ribosomal RNA". The record is from RNAcentral. Lineage: Eukaryota; Viridiplantae; Streptophyta; Magnoliopsida; Poales; Poaceae.